ACGGAAUCCAGUCUUAUAUCGUUUGAAAUUACAACUGAACCUAUUCCAACCACUUUAGAGAGGGACCCAUCAGCAAUACGAAUAGUAUAAUUUUCGUGACAUGGGCUGUAUUUGUGGAACACAGUUGUGUCUCCAGUCAUGUGAUCUGAUGCCCCCGAAUCAACAAUCCAUCUGCUUGCUUUCUUUUUAUUAACUAAAAGAGCAUCCGAGAGUUUACCUUUUUCUGCCAACGAACCUGUCCCGAUGAUUGAAGAUUCUAUAUUUUGUUGAGAAGAUUAGCUUAUCAGUUUUUGCAGGAUUUCCAAUUGUUCUUUGCUGAACAGGCUUGACUGGGAUACGUCUGGGUUCUUGCUAAUUGAGGCCAGGUUUCCACGUCCUUCUCUAUCAUCGUACGGUCGGGACGGUUUCCAAUCAGGAGGUUUCCCAUGAAGCUUCCAACAAGUCGCCUUUGUGUGUUCCAAUCAUCGGCAAUGGUCGCACCAUGGCCUUUCCUUUUUCUGACGAUUAUUAUUGUUGGCAAAUUGAGUUCCUCGGGCGGCAAGUGUAGAAGUCUCAAGCGUUGGUGUGGUGUUAUAUGAUCCCAUCAUCACCUUUUUUCUACUCACCUCUUGACGAACUUCUGAGAAUGCAAUCCGAAUGUCGGGAACGGGUUUUGUCCCUAGUACACGUCCCAUAACUUCAUCAAUAUUUUUGUUGAUACCUAGAAGGAAUUUGAAAAUUCGUUUCUUUUCAACAAAUUUUUUGUACUUAAGUUCAUCUUGUGGGCAGGACCACUCAAUUUCUUCAUACAUGUCUAGGUAUUGCCAAUAACAAGUGAGUGUACUGAAAUAUUGAGUGACUAUGAGAUCUGCUUGAUGUGGGUUAUAGAGGAGGGUUUCUAUUUCAAACAAUGCGGCUGUGUUCUCGUCGUUUGAAUAUGUCUCUUUGGCUGUGUCCCAGAUUUCUUUUGCAGUCCCAUACAACAAGAAAUUUUCUCCUAUCUCGUUGGUCAUGGAGUUCAUCAACCACGACAUCACUAGGUUAUUUUUUGUUUCCUAGAUCUUGAAUUUGGGAUCUUCCUUUGUUGGUUGAAUAGCUGCACCGGUGAGGUAGUCAUCUUUUCCUUGUCCACAUAUGAACAUCAUCACCGACUGGGACCAUUGAAGGAAAUUAUGGCCAUUCAAUUUGUGUCCAGUGAUUGGGAAAAGAAAGCCUUUUGAUCCUCCAUUAUGGCUUGCAACUGCAACUUCUGGAUUGAAGGCGACUUCGGUAGAAUUAGAAUGUUGUCUCUCAGUUGCCAUGCGGUAUUUGGUCAUGAGUGGAAUUCAGAUAUUCAGAGUAAUGGCUCUGAUACCAUGUGAAAUGCUAAGAGAGAAUUUUUGUUAUUCUUAUUCACUGAAUGAAGUAAAACAUACUGUUAAAUACAUACAGGCAGCCAAUUAAGACUCCCAUUAAUUUUGGUACAUACCAAAUUAUUCAUCUACUAAGCUAGGAAAAACUAAUUAGAGAGAAAUUAGGUAACAACUUACCUAAAUUCUCAUUUAACAUAAAAUAGUAUAAAACAGCUAAGUAUGGAAAAUAUUCCUAGAUCCUAGGAUUAACCUUAAUUGGAAUCUCUACACCUAUA
Molecule: long non-coding RNA, 1606 nt
Filed under: Olea europaea subsp. europaea
Lineage: Eukaryota; Viridiplantae; Streptophyta; Magnoliopsida; Lamiales; Oleaceae
Source: RNAcentral